CAGGGCUGAACCAGCCAAGUCGCGUGAGGGAUGACGGUCCUAUGGAUUGUAAACCUCUUUUGUCAGGGAGCAAAGGGCGCCACGUGUGGCGCUUUGCGAGUACCUGAAGAAAAAGCAUCGGCUAACUCCGUGCCAGCAGCCGCGGUAAUACGGAGGAUGCGAGCGUUAUCCGGAUUUAUUGGGUUUAAAGGGUGCGCAGGCGGAAUGUCAAGUCAGCGGUAAAAUUUCGGGGCUCAACCCCGUCGUGCCGUUGAAACUGGCGUUCUUGAGUGAGCGAGAAGUAUGCGGAAUGCGUGGUGUAGCGGUGAAAUGCAUAGAUAUCACGCAGAACUCCGAUUGCGAAGGCAGCAUACCGGCGCUCAACUGACGCUCAUGCACGAAAGCGUGGGUAUCGAACAGGAUUAGAUACCCUGGUAGUCCACGCAGUAAACGAUGAAUACUAACUGUCCGGGCAGAAUGAUGCCUGG
This 467-nucleotide ribosomal RNA is filed under the name uncultured bacterium. RNAcentral describes it as "bacterial SSU rRNA". It matches the Rfam family "Bacterial small subunit ribosomal RNA", at positions 378 to 842 of the family's 1533-position model. The record is from RNAcentral.